UACAGAGGAUGCAAGCGUUAUCCGGAAUGAUUGGGCGUAAAGCGUCUGUAGGUGGCUUUUUAAGUCCGCCGUCAAAUCCCAGGGCUCAACUCUGGACAGGCGGUGGAAACUACCAAGCUGGAGUACGGUAGGGGCAGAGGGAAUUUCCGGUGGAGCGGUGAAAUGCGCAGAUAUCGGGAGGAACACCGGUGGCGAAGGCGGUUCUCUGGGCCUGUUCUGACGCUGAGGAGCGAAAGCGUGGGGAGCGAACAGG
Molecule: ribosomal RNA, 253 nt
Filed under: uncultured bacterium
Lineage: Bacteria
Description: partial 16S ribosomal RNA
Rfam family: Bacterial small subunit ribosomal RNA
Source: RNAcentral